Non-coding RNA from Myotis lucifugus (little brown bat), 109 nucleotides. NCBI's taxonomy places the organism in Eukaryota, Metazoa, Chordata, Mammalia, Chiroptera, Vespertilionidae. The record is from Rfam.
AAAAUCCCCUAGCUGUGGAGUUUUGUUGACUGAAAUUGGAGUAAUACAGAGAUUAGCAAGGCCCCUGUGUAAGGAUGACAUUCAAACUGGUGAAAUGUUCCUUGUGUUU